CCCUAGACUUUUCAUUUUAUUUUCUGCUUAAGCCAACUGAGGUGGAACCAAAGAGUACAAGGCCCCUGCAACCCCAGGAGUGCUGGCAGAUUACCGGGGACCAUGUGGCACUCAUUGCUACCUCUUCUGCAGAGCCAGAGCCACCUGGGCCUCUGCAUUCCCUCCUCAGAAGAUGUUUCCCUUUUUCCAGCAAGGGGGCAGGGGGGGUGACACACAGGUCAGCGGGUACAGGCCUUGGCUGCCCCUGUAGCCCCCGUAGCCUCUGUACACGCUUGUGCCCUGUAAGUAUGAGGCUGAGAGGACAGGGUCUCUGUGGCAGGGGCUGGCCCCAGCUCACUGGCGAGCCUGCUGUUGCUGGGGCUGCAGACGUGCCGGGACUGAGAAGGAGCUCUCCCAGCCUCUGCUGAAGAGGAACCGGGAGGGAGACGGGAGACAGGGCCAGGCCUCAGAAACAAAGGCGUUGCCAUGGUAACCUCUAAAAAAACCGACUCCAGCAGGCAAGGGAGGGGUGCAGCGUGCAGGCCCCCAAUCCAGGACAAGGACAAGGCCAGUUGCCACGGAGAUGCUCCAAAGCUUCCCUUGUGGACCUGGCUGGCGUCCAGCUCUGGGUCGGGAAACCCACCACCACCCUCCAUGCCUCUCACCCCCAUAAGUCUCUAAGACUCUGACCUCUGUGCAGAGCACAUGCCCCUAAGGGGUUCAACCUACCUGCCCACCCCUUGGCCAUGAACUCUGGGUAAGCGCAGCAUCAGAAAACGAGCCAGGGGAGAGGCCACAUUGGAAUGAGCUUCCUGUCUGCCAAUAGGCCACUGCAGCUCUGAGUGUGGCCUCCUGCACCCCAGCCUCAGGAGGGGGUAGGUCUGAUCCCGAAGGGGCCCUGCAGCUGGGAAACUGGUUUACCUGCUUUUAACAGAUGCAAUAAGCUGGGCUCCAAGGGCUUCCUGGUCCCUGAGGCUGGGACUGGGCGGGAAUCCCUCUCAGCUGGAAGGAGGGUGACUUUGGACCAACUCAAGAGGGCUUUUCAUGAUUUUCACUGAGGUCAAGAGGCCAAUUCCAAAGGCAACAUUCUCCAGGAAUGGAAUGGAAGACAAGAGCAGAAAGGGAGGCAGAGGGUCCAGGGCCAUGCGGUCACCAUGAUGAGGAGCAGGAAGAGGGUGGCGGCCGGCGUUAUCCGGUGCCUGGCAACCUGCGUGCCUCACCCAGUUUCACUUUUGCAACAGCCGCUGAAGCAGAUACUAUGUGUCAUCAUUCCCACUUUACAGGUGCCAUGGAAGCCUGAGGUUGGUCCGGCUUCCACCUUCCUGCAGCCCAGGCUUGAGACAUGGACAACACUUGAAGGGCGAAUUUCCCAUGACUGCCUGGGAGGAAGGGGCAGCCCCAGAUGUCAGGAAAGGCUCCCAGGUCAUAGCCUCUGACCCCAUGCCGCACACAGCCUGUGCCCCUACUGCGCUCCCCAGCAUGGUGCCAUGCAGGGAGCCUCAGCCCUGUGCAUCCCUCUCAGCUGUACCCCAGCUGCUGGCACCCCAACUUGCUUCUUUCUGUGCCUAUUGGGUGCCUGCUGCUCUGCUGACCCUGGGCUGGGCACCAGGGUUCUGCCCUGAGUGGGCAUGGGCCCAGGGGGCUACAGGAACCCCAGGACAAGUGGGGUGGGGUGCUGGUCCUUCUCUCUCAGCCUGCUGCAGGGGCUCAUGUGCAGUGGGAGGGGUGUGGGCAUAGGCACCGCAGUGCAGUGUGGGGACCAGACACGGAGGAAAGACAGCUUGGGCUGGUUAAAUUUAAGUGCUGGAGCCACUGGCUAAGCUGUAACACCAGGGAGGCUGCCAGGCACAGGUGAGAGGGAGGCAAAGUUUAAACAUGCCAGGGAGCGGCAACAGUGGGCACGGGUGCCGAGGUAGCAGGGAGGGGCUGGCCUCAGGGGCCGCCAGCCUUUCUGUAGGGGCACUCUCGCUCCAGCAGGCAGGGUCAGGAGGCCAGGGAAGUCAGCCCGGCAUUUGGGUUCUUGCAGAGGACGCAUGCUGCUCCCUUUCCAUCCCUGGGAGAGGAAGGCAGGGGAGGGGACAGCGAGCCAUCACGAGCCAGGCCUGCCCCAAGGUCACUGUGCAGAGGGCGCCAGGCGGCCCCGAGGGCUGCACUGUGCCCAGGCCGGGAGUGUCACACUCAGAAGCACAAGUGGGCCACCUGUGCAGUCCCGUGAGGCUCAGUUCACCGCUCUGUAGUGCUGCCUUGAAACUCUUAAUAAUUCCCAGGGAGGAGCCCACUUUCAUUUUGCCCCGGCCCACACAUGUCCUGAGAGAGGGGGCCGGUUGGCUCGGGAAGGAUGAGAGGCCCUGUGCGGGGCACUGCUCAUGCCACUCCUGCUGACGGAAGCAGGCUUCCCAGGGUUCUCCGAGGCACCCGUCGGAGACAAAGCUAGCCUGGCACCUCCACCCAUUCCUUGACUUUGGGAACUAUGCAGAUUUCUGGACUCCUAGCCAAGCUGCACAUAGUAGGUGCUCAGUAAAUGAAAUGCCCCUGGGUGCUGGCAGCAGGUGGGUGCAGGUGGUCUGGGCAGAUGGCCCAGAGCCAGGAUGGAUCCUGGAGCUCCACGUGAGUCCAGGCCCCACCACUUGCUAACAGGUCGCUCCAAGCCUCAGAUUCCCCAGAGCUGUGCGAGGAGACAAGGCAUGUGAACACCCUGCAGGGGGAGCUGUGCAGAUAGGCUCCGAGGGCAGACAGCAUGCACGUGGCCCCCUGGUGAACCUCUGGUGCUCUGCCCAGCCGCCACCCCUGUCUUCCAGAAACAGCUUGAAUCCUCCUACAGGGACCCUCACCCACAGACUGACCCCAGCCCUGGGCCCAGGCAGUGGCACAUGCCCGGGACCCAGGACAUCACUACAUCACUUUGGGAUAAUCAGUGAGCCCAUGCUUGGGCUUGGGCAUGAGGCCUUGCAUUCACUCCUGGGGCUGUGAGCUGUGGGAUGUCUGCCUGGCCGUGCUAGGCAGUGGGGAGCCUUGAACGGGGAGACACAGGCUCUGAUGAGAGCGUCCGGACUCCUUGACCCAGCCAUGCCUGAAGGAGGUGCUGCAGCCAGAGGACCCUCAGAUACAUGUCCUGUGAGCCAGGGUUUCCAUGCCCCCUUAUUCAUGCACUGGGAGGACAGGACAGGCCUCUAGACCCCUCCUCUCUC
Molecule: RNA transcript, 3167 nt
Organism: Manis pentadactyla (Chinese pangolin)
Lineage: Eukaryota; Metazoa; Chordata; Mammalia; Pholidota; Manidae
Exons: 2
Source: RefSeq, a predicted model, not a curated record